UGUGGACAUGAAUUUUCAAUUCCUUUGGGUAAAUACCCAGGAACAUGAUUGCUGGAGAUUAUUUCCUUUUGUAAGAAACUGCCAAGCUGUCUUCGAAAGUGGCUGUUUCAUUCUGCAUUCCCACCCGCAAGAAGUAAAAAUUCCUGUUAUUUCACAUCCUCGCCAGUGUUUGGUGUUGUCAAUGUUCCAGAUUUGGGCCAUUCUAAUAGGUUUGCAACUUGUGAAUGAAGAAUCUUAAGGAAUACGUGAGUCAGCUAUUGCUGUACUUAUGCAAAAAGUAAUCCUAAAUCUUUCCAUAGUUACAAUCAGAUACAUUCAUCCUCAUGCCCUGGGUCUCUAAGUCCGCUGAGGUUUGGCUGCGCGAGGCUGGAGUCCAGGUUUCUGACCUUGCCGAGGUCUGCUUCACCUUAUGGGGCUCAUGAUCUCAGAGCACAAAAAUGCUAGAAGGCAAGCCGGAUUACAUGAUGUCUCUUAAAGAGCUUGCUCACACCUGGCAUACUACCUCUUCCCUCCCAUAUUUCAUUCGGCAGAGCAAGUGAUACAUGGCCUGGCCCCACAUCACUAAGGCCGGGAAAUAAUAUGUGCCUAUCUGAGCAGAAGGAACCGCCAAGUCAUGAGGGCAUGGAUGUAAUUUAUGUAAUUCAGAGAAAGCAUAAAGAACUGGGAACAACGAUCUAAUCUAUUAUAAGGGAUUGCUGUUUCUCACAGAGAGAACCUACCAAUGAGAUACAUAAGUAAGUGACCUCUUCCUGGGCAGUGGGGCUGCUGCUGACCUUUGGGUACUAGAAUGUGGGAUUGACACCCGUGCCCAGCGCUCCUGUGCGAUUAGAGCUGAAAUAAUCAUAACCACAGACUUUGAGGGCUUUGGUUCCUGGCCCCAAAUAACCUUUGAGCUUGCUGCUUCACAAACAGUGAAGGAAACAUGGAGACACAUCCUAUUUUAAGUGUCCUCGCCUGCUCAUUCCCGUCCUCCUGCCUCAUCCACAACCGUCAGGCUUCUCAGCCCACCGUGUACAGGGCUGCUCCGAGUCGCUCAGUGAUCCUCGUCCCCCCGCUCUCACCCAGCCCAGCGCUGCUGUGUUGCAUUGAAUACAUGCCUACGUUUCUGAAUCUCAGUGAUGAAGGAACGUUGCGAGAACCUGGCUGGGUUGUUUGUAAGCAGGUCCUGUCCUCAGAAAGGGAGGUCGGGCUCUCCUCUGAAAAUGUUUAGAUGAGCCUGCCUCAGAAGAAACUCAUAGCCUCAUAGCAUGGGAGCGCUGGGACUUUCGAGGGCAUCUAGCCAACCCUACUGUUUUAGAGAUCAAGCAAAUGAGGCCCAGAGAGUCCAUUUAGUGAAGGAACAAAGACCGGGGUCUUGGACUUCUUAUUCUCAAUCCAGGGGACCCAGAGUGUCUCACCGCUCCCAUCCUUCCCUGAGGCAGUUAGCUGCAUUCUUAUUAAACUGAUCAUGAACAUGUGCGGCAGGUCCCAGAUGAACUUCUAUAAAUACAAGGAUAUGGGGGCCUUGGACUCUCUCUGUUCAUACAGUCAUUGAGAGCUCCCCAAGCCAGCAAAUUAGACUAUUUGGUCUAGGAAAAGGAGAUCUCAGCUAAAAUGCAAAGAUGACUAUAGAGAUAAUCCUUAGUUUUUGAUCUUCUAAGGGCCCGAGGACCAGAGUUGCAUUUUAGAGACAGCCCUCCCCACCAGCUCGGGAAUUCCCAGGGCAAUCUCAGAGAAAACUAAGGGGAUGGAGGGACCCUGAAGCAUCUGAAGUUCAUCCCAAAUAAAUGGAAAUUGCUAAACUGA
This is a long non-coding RNA of Ailuropoda melanoleuca (giant panda), 1785 nucleotides long. RefSeq lists it as uncharacterized. Lineage: Eukaryota; Metazoa; Chordata; Mammalia; Carnivora; Ursidae. The record is from RefSeq and is a predicted model, not a curated record. The transcript has 2 exons.